CCUACGGGAGGCAGCAGUGGGGAAUAUUGCGCAAUGGGGGAAACCCUGACGCAGCAACGCCGCGUGAGUGAGGAAGGACUUCGGUCUGUAAAGCUCUGUUAAUGUGGAAAAAUGGUAGUUGGUCUAAUAGGCCGAUUAUUUGAUGGUACACAUAGAGGAAGCACCGGCUAACUUCGUGCCAGCAGCCGCGGUAAUACGAAGGGUGCAAGCGUUGUUCGGAUUUAUUGGGCGUAAAGCGCGCGUAGGCGGACCUGUAAGUCAGAUGUGAAAUCUCGGGGCUCAACCUCGAAACUGCGUCUGAAACUGCAGGUCUAGAAUCUCGGAGGGGGAAGGGGAAUUUCGCAUGUAGGGGUAAAAUCCGUAGAUAUGCGAAGGAACACCAGAGGCGAAGGCGCCUUCCUGGACGAGUAUUGACGCUGAGGCGCGAAAGCGUGGGGAUCAAACAGGAUUAGAUACCCUGGUAGUCCACGCUGUAAACUAUGAACACUAGGUAUUGGAGGAUUUGACCCCUUCAGUGCCGUAGCUAACGCGUUAAGUGUUCCGCCUGGGAAGUACGGUCGCAAGCAAAACUCAAAUGAAUUGACCGGNUGAGCGNGCGAGACGACGACGAGGAGAGG
RNAcentral lists this ribosomal RNA (617 nucleotides) under uncultured bacterium. RNAcentral's name for it is "bacterial SSU rRNA". It matches the Rfam family "Bacterial small subunit ribosomal RNA", at positions 338 to 946 of the family's 1533-position model. The record is from RNAcentral.